AUACGUAGGUGGCAAGCGUUGUCCGGAUUUACUGGGUGUAAAGGGCGUGUAGGCGGAGAUGCAAGUCAGGAGUGAAAUCUAGGGGCUCAACCCCUAAACUGCUUUUGAAACUGUAUCCCUUGAGUAUCGGAGAGGCAGGCGGAAUUCCUAGUGUAGCGGUGAAAUGCGUAGAUAUUAGGAGGAACACCAGUGGCGAAGGCGGCCUGCUGGACGACAACUGACGCUGAGGCGCGAAAGCGUGGGGAGCAAACAGGAUUAGAUGCCCUGGUAGUCCACGCUGUAAACGAUGAAUACUAGGUGCGGGGGGACUGACCCCCUCCGUGCCGCAGUUAACACAAUAAGUAUUCCACCUGGGGAGUACGAUCGCAAGAUUGAAACUCAAAGGAAUUGACGGGG
This 396-nucleotide ribosomal RNA is filed under the name uncultured bacterium. RNAcentral's name for it is "partial 16S ribosomal RNA". It matches the Rfam family "Bacterial small subunit ribosomal RNA", at positions 523 to 918 of the family's 1533-position model. The record is from RNAcentral.